This 325-nucleotide long non-coding RNA is filed under the name Homo sapiens (human). RNAcentral's name for it is "non-protein coding lnc-ZNF727-6:3". The record is from RNAcentral. Lineage: Eukaryota; Metazoa; Chordata; Mammalia; Primates; Hominidae.
AAGAGUAGCGUUACUAUGGCAACCCUGACAGGUUUGUGAGCAGCCCCCGGUCCCCUGCCGCUCCGUGAGAAAUCAAACUUCAGGCACUGACGAAGCAUGAAGCCAGCAUCUUAGGAAGAGGUAGUGACAUAAUUACAAGGUAGGACCAACCGCCCUGGUCCCACUGUCGCCUGGCAGGCAGGAGAGGUUUGGGAACAGCCAGGCUCCCCUUGACAUGGCAGUACUGCUCUGGACGCGGGGAGGUGUGGAUUAGUGGGUGGGAGCUACACCUGGCAUACUGGGAGUUGUCGUCUUUGAUUAGCUUCCAGUUUUUUAAUUGCAGGGC